AUGGAGGGAUCGCUUCCUGCCUCUUCCUUUCACCCCCCCGCCGCCGCCGCCGCCGCCACCGCCACCCCCUCUAGCUAUCCCGCCUGGGUUCUCCUCGACAGAAAGGCCUACUUCGCCGAUCUCCAUAACGCCACCACCGCUGAAGCCAAAUCAAGCACCGGUCGCAUCAUAAAGGUCACCUUCUACCUAGCGGAUCCGCCGGCCGUCUCCCACUUUUGCGUCCAUGGCCCUGAUGUCGACCCUGGGCACUUUGCUGUUGAGCCCCGGGUUCUAUUCUCGGAGAAGGACCUCGUCCUCCUAUGCUUCGCCUUCACCAGCGGCUCCCGAAGUUCUGUCCAGGACUGUAAUCUCGUCGAGUACUUCAUCUACAAGGCCGGCCGAUGCAAUCCGUCCCUCAGAUCGAUCCCGGCUACUCCUCCAGGUACCAGGAAUACACUGUAUGUUGGCGUCGUGCCGUGUGACGAGGGACAAUUCUUCCUCGCCGAUCUCGCUGCCACAGCUACCCUUGGAUACUAUGACAUCUGUAUCUUUUCAUCCAAGACGGGCAAGUGGGUUACCAGGACAUUGCAGUUGGAGGCAUCUACUACUGAACUCAGGGUAGAGGACAUGUUCAUUGUACCUCACAAGGUGAUCACUCUUGGUGCUGGCGUGAUAGGAUGGGUCGACCUCUGGCGUGGUAUUAUCGCUUGCAACAUUCUUGAGGAGGACCCCUUCAUCUUUUUCAUUCCACUUCCCAAGCCUGAAUUCAACUUGCCUCGGGAGGGUGACCCAAAGCCGGUUCGGGACAUUGCCUGCUACAAUGGUGUUAUCAAGUUUGUGGAGAUGGAUCAUCUUUACAGACGUGAGGUUGUUAGUAUUAGUAACCGUAAUAAGAGGUUUAAGAUGACGAAGGAUUUGGAUAGUGUAGACAAGAUAUACGACCUGGAUAUCCUCCUUCGCCCGCAUGAGGACUUCCUAGAAGCGCCCAAAGAGCAAAUCAUUUACAUCCCUGAUGGUUGGAAGAUUCGGACAUGUUAUAGGCAUACUUCUUGGGACCAUUGGCGCAAGGGGCACAUUAUUCAUGUUGAUGACAUCUUGGCCAACAACCCAAAUCAUUCUGUCUUGUUGCCAAAGUUUUGGGAUGGUUGUGGAAAAUCACCAUUAAGGAACCUGACCACAGCCCACCCGACCCUCAGCCCAAAUGGUGGUGAUCUUCUCUACCUGAUGUCUUAUGAUCAGACUGCCUGGAUGGUUGGUGUUGACCUUGGAAAGAAGGCAGUUGUAAUGCUUGAACCAUAUCAUGAGAGAGACGGUUAUUUCAAACCGGACUUUCUACCAUUUGCAUUCUCUGAAUUUCUGAAUGCAACUUCAAGGUCGUGUGCAGGGGAAGCUGCCUUUGAACCAAAUGAGGCUCAGAACAAUCACCUUUUAUCAGGCUCUAGCGGAUAUGCUGAAUGCAAAGCUCCAGGCUUCCUAUGCAGCAACAGCCAGAGUCAACCCCAGUUGCUGUCCAAUCAGCCACAACCCCUGCAUCUGAAUUUGACCUCGUCUGUAUCAGUGAACUCCCAGUUGACGUACCCAGUGCUGAAUGCUGAUGACCACGGCCAGCUGUGCUUCGCAAAGUCAGUGGCUCGCCAUUGGAUGAUGGAGCUGGCAGACUCGUCCUUGACCCCACCGACGCCUCAGAUAGCAUUGCAGGAAGUCCAGCCCUGCAAUGAGCCUGCUAAUGUAACGUUGAUGCCUCUUGGGAAGCCAGCGCACCCAGCUGUCCAGGCCUACUGUGGGUCUUGCAGUACCUCGACGAUGCCUGGGAUGCCAGCACCCCUAGCCCUCCAGCCUAACUGUUGGACCUCUAGUGUCAUCUCACCUCCACAAAUGCCAGGGCCGUCCAGCAAGCAACUGGAUGUGAAUGCCUCAUUGCCGUUGGUGCACAUCAACUCCAUUUUGGGCUCCCCCAAGUCGCUGAUAAGGUCAACAUCGAUUUAG
This 1965-nucleotide ribosomal RNA is filed under the name Triticum aestivum (bread wheat). RNAcentral's name for it is "partial small subunit ribosomal RNA". Lineage: Eukaryota; Viridiplantae; Streptophyta; Magnoliopsida; Poales; Poaceae. The record is from RNAcentral.